RNAcentral lists this ribosomal RNA (905 nucleotides) under uncultured bacterium. RNAcentral's name for it is "bacterial SSU rRNA". It matches the Rfam family "Bacterial small subunit ribosomal RNA", at positions 62 to 999 of the family's 1533-position model. The record is from RNAcentral.
UCGACGAUGAUCUUCUAGCUUGCUAGAAGUGGAUUAGUGGCGCACGGGUGAGUAAUGCAUAGGUUAUGUGCCCUUUAGUCUGGGAUAGCCACUGGAAACGGUGAUUAAUACUGGAUACUCCCUACGGGGGAAAGUUUUUCGCUAAAGGAUCAGCCUAUGUCCUAUCAGCUUGUUGGUGAGGUAAUGGCUCACCAAGGCUACGACGGGUAUCCGGCCUGAGAGGGUGAUCGGACACACUGGAACUGAGACACGGUCCAGACUCCUACGGGAGGCAGCAGUAGGGAAUAUUGCUCAAUGGGGGAAACCCUGAAGCAGCAACGCCGCGUGGAGGAUGAAGGUUUUAGGAUUGUAAACUCCUUUUGUUAGAGAAGAUUAUGACGGUAUCUAACGAAUAAGCACCGGCUAACUCCGUGCCAGCAGCCGCGGUAAUACGGAGGGUGCAAGCGUUACUCGGAAUCACUGGGCGUAAAGAGUGCGUAGGCGGGGUAAUAAGUCAGAUGUGAAAUCCUGUAGCUUAACUACAGAACUGCAUUUGAAACUGUUACUCUGGAGUGUGGGAGAGGUAGGUGGAAUUCUUGGUGUAGGGGUAAAAUCCGUAGAGAUCAAGAGGAAUACUCAUUGCGAAGGCGACCUGCUGGAACAUUACUGACGCUGAUGCACGAAAGCGUGUGGAGCAAACAGGAUUAGAUACCCUGGUAGUCCACGCCCUAAACGAUGGAUGCUAGUUGUUGCCUUGCUUGUCAGGGCAGUAAUGCAGCUAACGCAUUAAGCAUCCCGCCUGGGGAGUACGGUCGCAAGAUUAAAACUCAAAGGAAUAGACGGGGACCCGCACAAGCGGUGGAGCAUGUGGUUUAAUUCGAAGAUACGCGAAGAACCUUACCUAGGCUUGACAUUGAUAGAAUCUA